RNAcentral lists this ribosomal RNA (307 nucleotides) under uncultured Chlorobiota bacterium. Its description in RNAcentral is "bacterial SSU rRNA". It matches the Rfam family "Bacterial small subunit ribosomal RNA", at positions 28 to 351 of the family's 1533-position model. The record is from RNAcentral. Lineage: Bacteria; Pseudomonadati; Chlorobiota.
GACGAACGCUGGCGGCGUGCCUAACACAUGCAAGUCAAGGAGAUGGCACCUUUCGGGGUGCUUGAUACUGGCGAACGGGUGAGUAACGCGUAGAUAAUCUGCCCUAAUCCCUGGCAUAACGUCGAGAAAUCGGCGCUAACAUCAGAUGAGGUGUUUACAUCAAAGGGUAACCGGAUUAGGAUGAGUCUGCGUCUGAUUAGCUUGUUGGUAAGGUAAUGGCUUACCAAGGCGACGAUCAGUAGCUGGUCUGAGAGGAUGGUCAGCCACACUGGAACUGAGACACGGUCCAGACUCCUACGGGUGGCAG